UACGUAGGGGGCGAGCGUUGUCCGGAUUUACUGGGCGUAAAACGCUUGUAGGCGGCCACGCCAAGUCGGACGUGAAAUCUCCCGGCUUAACUGGGAGGGGUCGUUCGAUACUGGCGGGCUCGAGGCAGGUAGGGGGAAGCGGAAUUCCCGGUGUAGUGGUGGAAUGCGCAGAUAUCAGGAGGAACACCGGUGGCGAAGGCGGGUCUCUGGGCAGUAACUGACGCUGAGGAGCGAAAGCGUGGGGAGCGAACAGG
This 254-nucleotide ribosomal RNA is filed under the name uncultured bacterium. Its description in RNAcentral is "partial 16S ribosomal RNA". It matches the Rfam family "Bacterial small subunit ribosomal RNA", at positions 524 to 776 of the family's 1533-position model. The record is from RNAcentral.